Molecule: non-coding RNA, 551 nt
Organism: Tachysurus fulvidraco (yellow catfish)
Lineage: Eukaryota; Metazoa; Chordata; Actinopteri; Siluriformes; Bagridae
Source: the annotation of a RefSeq genome assembly
GUGUGUGUGUGAGUGUGUGUGUAGUGAGGAGGAGGACAGCAGCUGAGCAUUUUACUUCACUUCACUUUUAUAUCAACAACAAUGCUGUCAUUAUCAGUGUUGCUGCUGCUUUCAGCUGCAUUCUGUGGUGUUGGAGGUGUGGAGCUCACUCAGACAGACUCUGUGCUGGUGAAGCCUGGAGAGUCGUUCUCCAUCUCUUGUAAGAUCUCAGUGUCGAGUUAUUGUAUUAACUGGAUACGGCAACCUGCUGGAAAAGCACUGGAAUGGCUCGGAUAUCUAUGUAGCACUGAUAGCACUAAUCUCAAAGACACGAUGAAGAGCAAGAUCAGUCUCAGCCAGGACAAAUCCAGCAGCACAGUUUAUUUAAGAGGACAAAACUUUCAGGUCGAGGACACGGCUGUGUAUUACUGUGCCAGAGACACAACACUACAAACUCACUGAAGCCCUGUACAAAAACAUCCCUGGUCAUUUUCCUCUCUCUGCAGUACACAUGUCCCCAGAGAGGUCUGGUAUAUAUGAGCUAGCAGAGCUAAGACACUUCUGUAGUUCAA